RNAcentral lists this long non-coding RNA (336 nucleotides) under Elaeis guineensis (African oil palm). RNAcentral describes it as "long non-coding RNA (EGUI_LNC072131)". Lineage: Eukaryota; Viridiplantae; Streptophyta; Magnoliopsida; Arecales; Arecaceae. The record is from RNAcentral.
AAAGAUCCAUGGAUAUUUACGCUUAUAUAUCCAUAGUUGUCAACCCUAUAUCCUCGUCCCAAUCGGCCAACAUCCCACCAGUGACAUUUGAAAAGAACUACUUUUUUAUUUCCCACAUACAACAAUUCAAAAAUAUCUUCCAACACUCCAUAGUACUCUUUAUCAGCAGAUGUUUCAUCUCCUUUUACAAGCACUCCACUAUUCUGACUUUUUCGCCCAAUUGCACGAUCUCUUGCAUGAAAUCUGAAUCUAUUGACAACGUAAGUUCCAUAUCUAUUGUUGGGUAUAAAAUAUCCCCCCAGCCGAAGUUCAUGUCAAGAGUGACCCUUCGAGAAU